GGUGGCUCAGUGGUAGAGUGCUUGCCUUACAUUCAGGAGGUCCUGGGUUCGAUUCCUCAGCACCA
Molecule: transfer RNA, 65 nt
Filed under: Dipodomys ordii (Ord's kangaroo rat)
Lineage: Eukaryota; Metazoa; Chordata; Mammalia; Rodentia; Heteromyidae
Rfam family: tRNA
About the family: Transfer RNA (tRNA) molecules are approximately 80 nucleotides in length.
Source: Rfam by way of RNAcentral